Long non-coding RNA from Peromyscus leucopus (white-footed mouse), 666 nucleotides. RefSeq lists it as uncharacterized. The transcript is spliced from 3 exons. The record is from RefSeq and is a predicted model, not a curated record. NCBI's taxonomy places the organism in Eukaryota, Metazoa, Chordata, Mammalia, Rodentia, Cricetidae.
GUCAUUGAGACACAGAAUGUUUGCUAGGAGGUGAAACAUUGCAUCCCGCAGUGAAGCCCUCUAAGCUCAGGAAGUAAACAACUUCAAUAGCUCCCAGAAGUCCCUGAAACUACAGCUCCAUCAGGCCGCUCCCUACCCAAGCCCUGUGAGCAGUGAGGCCUGCUGAAGGGUUAACUCUCAGACAAGACAAGCAGCCUGGAAGAGGCAGGGAUCAUCUGAACUGCCUGCAGGAAACAGAGACCAACCAACGCUCAGACCACCUGAGCCACCUGGAGAGAACCCUUUCCAGCCUUCCGAGCUGCCUGCAGAUAAUGCCGUGAACACCAGCUUUCAUGCUGGGUAGGCUUUGAGUCCUUUCGGCUCUGUAGUGCCUGAUGAUAAGGGGAGAAAUCUACAAGUUUAUCAUUCCAACUGAAUGUGCAGGUUUGUGUCCUCCAACCGUAGCCUGCCCCUUUCUUGGUGGUUUGAAGAUGAGGACAAGGUGAGCCUGGAUUCAUUCAGCAGGGGUGCCGUGAGCACCUAACCCUAACUGUCUCCCCCACGGCAAUGAGGAGCCGCAGCUUUGGGCCGCUCUCCUGGCUACGACUGUUGAUUCUAAACCACAUUCUUUUGUGGAAAACCUCUGGUUGUCACAGCAAUGCCUCACCAUUGUGUCACCCGGGUCAC